UGGCAAUACAUAUUAUCUUUU
Molecule: non-coding RNA, 21 nt
Filed under: Caenorhabditis elegans
Lineage: Eukaryota; Metazoa; Nematoda; Chromadorea; Rhabditida; Rhabditidae
Source: RNAcentral